Molecule: ribosomal RNA, 135 nt
Filed under: uncultured bacterium
Lineage: Bacteria
Description: partial 16S ribosomal RNA
Source: RNAcentral
CACGGAGUUAGCCGGGGCUUCUUCUGCGGGUACCGUCAUUAUCUUCCCCGCUGAAAGGGGUUUACAACCCUAGGGCCUUCUUCACCCACGCGGCAUGGCUGGAUCAGGCUUGCGCCCAUUGUCCAAUAUUCCCCA